Molecule: ribosomal RNA, 401 nt
Filed under: Theileria cervi
Lineage: Eukaryota; Apicomplexa; Aconoidasida; Piroplasmida; Theileriidae
Description: SSU rRNA
Rfam family: Eukaryotic small subunit ribosomal RNA (bases 1-360)
Source: RNAcentral
AGGAUUGACAGAUUGAUAGCUCUUUCUUGAUUCUUUGGGUGGUGGUGCAUGGCCGUUCUUAGUUGGUGGAGUGAUUUGUCUGGUUAAUUCCGUUAACGAAACGAGACCUUAACCUGCUAAAUAGGGUACGGGAAUAGGCUUCGGCUGUCCCGUGAUCGCUUCUUAGAGGGACUUUGCGGUUAUAAAUCGCAAGGAAGUUUAAGGCAAUAACAGGUCUGUGAUGCCCUUAGAUGUCCUGGGCUGCACGCGCGCUACACUGAUGCGUUCAUCGAGUUUAUCCUUGGCCGAGANGGCCUGGGGGUAAUCUUUAGUACGCAUCGUGAUGGGGAUCGAUUAUUGCAAUUAUUAAUCGUGAACGAGAAUGCGUAUAUGCGCAUCACCAGCUUGAGGGGCGCCCGUUC